UACGGAGGAUGCAAGCGUUAUCCGGAUUCAUUGGGUUUAAAGGGUGCGUAGGCGGCCAUUUAAGUCAGCGGUGAAAUUUUGCAGCUUAACUGUAACAGUGCCGUUGAUACUGUUUGGCUAGGAUUUGGUUGUAGUGUGCGGAAUGUGUGGUGUAGCGGUGAAAUGCUUAGAUAUCACACAGAACACCGAUUGCGAAGGCAGCACACUAAGUCAUUAUUGACGCUGAGGCACGAAAGUGUGGGGAUCAAACAGGA
This 254-nucleotide ribosomal RNA is filed under the name uncultured prokaryote. Its description in RNAcentral is "partial 16S ribosomal RNA". It matches the Rfam family "Bacterial small subunit ribosomal RNA", at positions 524 to 777 of the family's 1533-position model. The record is from RNAcentral.